UGAGGAUGAUGACAAUAACACCAUCUGUUUCAAAGGUUUUUGUGAAGCUCAAAAGUCUUGUUGAGACAAGAACACAUUAGCACAGAGCUCAGUAGGCAGUAAAUGCUCAAUGAACACUAACUGUCACAAGCCAUAACACAUAAUAAAUAUUAUAACAUUACCCAGGGUUAUUUUGAGAAUUACAAGCCAGUAUUCCUUUUCCCAUAUUGAGAAAACUUGUUAAAUGUAGAAAAAUAGUAAUCACUAGCAACUAAGAUAAAUAAAACAAGAGGAUAAUCCUCACACAUGUACUGGAAUUCUUCAUAAAUAUAAUUGUUUAUUAAUUACUUUGCAAGUAUCACAGUUUUCAUGGAACAUUUAACUCCAUACCCAUUUUGCUCAUGAAGAAGGAAAAAAACAUAACCAAUUAACUUACCCGAAGUCAACCAAUUUAAAGUUGAAAAAGUCAAAUUUUAAGUCAAGGUGCUGCCUCGAGAUCCCAUGCUUUGACAUCCAAAUGACAGUUACUUCCUUUGGGUGAUAAAGAUAAAAUUAAAGUAUGAUAAAGAAACUAAAUACCAAAAGCUAUAUAUAAAUUAUCAUGCCACAAAUACUUUAUUAGAUAGUAAACACCAAAAAGAGUUGAAUAAAUGGUCUCAUGUAUUGAGAGAAAUUAUUUCUAAAGGCCAUCUAAUUGGUAUAGAUAGAGUUAUAAAUAAGAAAGAAUACAGGGGUU
Molecule: long non-coding RNA, 715 nt
Filed under: Marmota monax (woodchuck)
Lineage: Eukaryota; Metazoa; Chordata; Mammalia; Rodentia; Sciuridae
Source: RNAcentral